CUGUCGUUAAUCCUGAGGGCCCGGAGCGAGCGCCGCAAGGCGCAUAAAGCUGGUGACGCCACGCUGCCGAGAAAAGCCUCUAAGGAGUGGAGUGGGUACCCGUACCGCAAACCGACACAGGUAGGCGAGGAGAAAAUCCUAAGGCCCAAGUGUGAUCCCCCGUUUAGGAACUCGGCAAAUUGGCCCCGUAACUUCGGAAGAAGGGGUGCUCUUGCUUGUCAUCCGGCUUGCCCGGAGAAGCGAACGAGAGUUGCAAUAAAGAGGCUCAGGCGACUGUUUACUAAAAACACAGGGCUCUGCGAAGUCGAAUACGACGUAUAGGGUCUGACGCCUGCCCGGUGCCGGAAGGUUAAAGAGAGGGGUUAGCCGCAAGGCGAAGCUCUGAACUGAAGCCCCGGUAAACGGCGGCCGUAACUAUAACGGUCCUAAGGUAGCGAAAUUCCUUGUCGGGUAAGUUCCGACCUGCACGAAUGGCGUAACGAUCUGAGCGCUGUCUCAACGGGGAGCACUGCGAAUUUGUGGUACCGGUGAAGACGCCGGAUGCCCGUCACAAGACGAAAAGACCCCGUGCACCUUUACUACAUCCUAGUAGUGAAUGCUGGCGCAGUAUGCGCAGGAUAGGUGGGAGGCUUUGAACCCAGGCUUUCGGGCUUGGGGGAGCCAACGGUGAGAUACCACCCUUACUGCUCCGGCGUUCUAACCUCGUUCUGUUAUCCAGAUCAGGGACACUGCUAGGUGGGUAGUUUGACUGGGGCGGUCGCCUCCUAAACUGUAACGGAGGCGCUCGAAGGUUCGCUCAGGCUGUUUGGAAAUCAGCCAUAGAGUGCAAAGGCAUAAGCGAGCUUGACUGCGAGACCUACAAGUCGAGCAGGUGGGAAACCAGGACUUAGUGAUCCGGUGGUUCCGCAUGGAAGGGCCAUCGCUCAACGGAUAAAAGGUACGCCGGAUAACAGCUGAUCUGAGCCAAGAGUUCACAUCGACGCUCAGGUUUGGCACCUCGAUGUCGGCUCAUCGCAUCCUGGAGCUGUAGCAGGUUCCAAGGGUCCGGCUGUUCGCCGGUUAAAGCGGUACGUGAGCUGGGUUUAGAACGUCGCGAGACAGUUCGGUCUCUAUCUGUGAUGGGCGCAGGAGAUUUGAGUGGGGCUGACCUUAGUACGAGAGGACCGGGUUGGACGAACCUCUAGUGUAUCGGUUGUCACGCCAGUGGCAGUGCCGAGUAGCUACGUUCGGAAGGGAGAAACGCUGAAGGCAUCUAAGCGUGAAACCCUCCACGAGAUGAGAUCUCCCA
RNAcentral lists this ribosomal RNA (1288 nucleotides) under metagenome. RNAcentral's name for it is "bacterial LSU rRNA". It matches the Rfam family "Bacterial large subunit ribosomal RNA", at positions 1544 to 2816 of the family's 2925-position model. The record is from RNAcentral.